CCUGGUGUCCACUGUGCCGAGGUUAAGGUGGGAUUCCUUCGGGCGUGUAGACGAUCCACGCCGCCCAGUUUAGCUAGGCUUCCCGCCUGGUGUCCACUGUGCCGAGGUUUAGGUGGGAUUCCUUCGGGCGUGUAGACGAUCCACGCCGCCAAGUUCAGCUAGGCUUCCCGAGCAUCCGGUGCCAGUGCUAUAAAAGGGGCCCAUUCUAUCCGGUUUGCCCAUUCCCACCUUCAACUCCGAGGCACGUCCAGCCACGAAUCACAUCGACCCACAGGCAAGCACGAGGUACCGACGCCCGAUCCUCUACACGGCGUCUGAACACUUCUGCGGUUUUCAACCUUCACCAGUGCAUACUACAUCAGAAUCAUGGCCGAAAUACCAAAGAGUCCGUUCUAUAUCAUCAGCAACAUGACUGGGCACGUGUUGAGCAUUUGUGGCCAGAGCAAGACCUCUGGGGCUAAAUUAGUCAUUGAGCCGAAGAAUACUCAAGACCCCAACUACCAAAAGUGGACCUAUGACGCAACGAAAAAGACCUUUCAAAGCCAACUGACGCCGUAUUUCGCCAUCACCCUCCAAGGAGGGACGUUUGCUACUGGCGCACCCAUCAUCAACGAGACAUACACUGCUGGACAAACCUACCAACAGUGGAAAGCUCCCUUUGAUUCAACCAUCCAGUCGGCAAACGAGAAAGGCUAUGUCAUCGGUCUUAAGGGCGGAUCGGGGGGUAGUGGAACCGAAGCCGUGCUGACAACCCGUACUUCCCAACCUGAGCCCCAUGCCAUGUGGCGUUUCGAGGAAGCC
Long non-coding RNA from Branchiostoma belcheri (Belcher's lancelet), 801 nucleotides. RefSeq lists it as uncharacterized. The record is from RefSeq and is a predicted model, not a curated record. The transcript has 7 exons. NCBI's taxonomy places the organism in Eukaryota, Metazoa, Chordata, Leptocardii, Amphioxiformes, Branchiostomatidae.